UGCUCAGCCCUUAGCUGCACUGCUAGGAUUCAUUUCUCUUUCUCCUUGCAUUAACAAAUUACCCUUAUCAUCUCUUCAAAUUCUCACCAACUCUUUCAUGGCCUUUUGUAGUUACAAAGGAGAAAUUCCUUCCCCUAUUUAUUUCAGGCAAUAUCUCAUUGUUGGUCUCAGCUCUUCACAGUUGCAGCCUCCCAGGUCUUGGUCCUGACAUAGGAACAAGGCAUUUAAUACAUUCAUCUCAUCACAAGUUUCUUUCAUCAGCUCAGUCUUCGAGAGAAUUACAGAACAUCGCGCAUGAAGGAUGCCAAGAAGUAGGUGCUUAUAAAAAGUUACCAAUUAAAUAUCCCUUCUGAGCUCUGCUCUCAUUUCUGCACCUGAAGUACAAAACCUGAAUAAAAUCCCCUCACAAGUGAUCUUCCAGCUAUUGAGGAAGACGGUCAAAUCGGGAUUCUCUCCCUCCUUCCAGACACUUGAAAUUGUCAGGCAGCCCAACACGAAGCUCACCUGGAGCCUCCUGCCUUCAUAGAAUCACUGAAUCCUG
Molecule: long non-coding RNA, 541 nt
Organism: Neopsephotus bourkii (Bourke's parrot)
Lineage: Eukaryota; Metazoa; Chordata; Aves; Psittaciformes; Psittacidae
Exons: 3
Source: RefSeq, a predicted model, not a curated record